Hydra vulgaris (swiftwater hydra) is the source of this 311-nucleotide non-coding RNA. Lineage: Eukaryota; Metazoa; Cnidaria; Hydrozoa; Anthoathecata; Hydridae. The record is from RefSeq and is a predicted model, not a curated record.
AACAGUUUUAAUAACUUAUUAUAGUUAACUAUGAAUUAUACUUAUGAAGUAAAUAAUUUAUAAAUGUUACACAUAUUUAAAUAAUAACUGAUAUGAUGAUCAAAAAUUGUGAUCAAAUUAUGAUCACAUGUUGAUUGGAUAGGAUAAUUGAUUUUCUUAUUUGUUUACAGACGAGCUACAAUUUGUAAGAAAAAAGAGAUAAGUAUUUAACUCUAACAAUGAAUAGGAGCUCAUUUCGCCUUGAAACUCGAAGCCGAGCAAAAGAUGAAAUUAAACGUGUGAUGAUGACAAUAGAAAAAGUUAGAAAGUGG